CCUCCCUUCUCCACUCUUCACCUCAGAAAGUUAUGGAACUGUACCUUAGAAAGUUAUGGAACUGUACUAAAAUGGGAAAUAAAUAAGCUCCAAUGGGGAAUAGUGAAUGAUAGAAAUGUUUGGAUGAUUCACAGUGGUAGUCAAGAAUCCCCUAUGACCUUGGUAGAUAUAUGUUAGAAUAAUUUCGCAUGAAGGUUAGUAAAAGACUUAAUAAAC
Molecule: long non-coding RNA, 216 nt
Filed under: Carica papaya (papaya)
Lineage: Eukaryota; Viridiplantae; Streptophyta; Magnoliopsida; Brassicales; Caricaceae
Description: long non-coding RNA (CPAP_LNC002825)
Source: RNAcentral